Molecule: non-coding RNA, 103 nt
Organism: Dallia pectoralis (Alaska blackfish)
Lineage: Eukaryota; Metazoa; Chordata; Actinopteri; Esociformes; Umbridae
Source: the annotation of a GenBank genome assembly
GGGGGUAUAGCUCAGUGGUAGAGCAUUUGGGGAAAUUGAUUUAUCAGCUCAGUGGUAGAGCAUUUUUGACUGCAGAUCUCAGGUUCAAAUCCUGGUGCCCCCU